UCCAUAUGAAUUUGACUUUUUGGGAAAAUGAGUGCAAUCUGAAAGAGCCUGACGCACGGUAUAGCUUUAACACGUUUUCCGCUGUUUUUCUCCACCUAAACGUUAACGGCCCUGUUCAAUAAGAUUCGUUGUGACGUUUGUCAGCGUGAUUCUGGCCUGUGGAAGAAAGAAAACCGUGGCAAGAAGCGAAACCCCCCUCCCCCCUAAAAACUCCAGCUAAUUCCACAAAUAUGCCGGACAUCAGUGCUGCCUGGGCCAACAACUCUGGAUUCGAACUUGCCUAAAUGUUCUUGAAACCCCUCAAAAAGAUGAUUAAAAGUCUGUGACAUGGUGAAGCACGGACAACGAACCGCACUCCAGCAGAGGUUCACGUCACGGUAUGCCUACUUGGCGUACGUCGACUAUUUUUCAGGCUACACAUGGCUGAAAAUAAAGAUGAGCAUUUUUCUUCAUGAGACAGGCAGACUAAAAGUGCAGUAUUUGUUCUUCAAUCCACAUUUGUUGACACACAUCACCCGUCAGCUCAUGUUGACUGUAAAUGGAAUGCGUGGCAUGGAGUGAUGAUAGACGCGCCCUAUCAUCAUGUUAUUGUUUUAUACAAAAAGUCACAGUCGUAGUAAAAUAUUGUCGACUUGUC
Molecule: long non-coding RNA, 637 nt
Organism: Hippocampus comes (tiger tail seahorse)
Lineage: Eukaryota; Metazoa; Chordata; Actinopteri; Syngnathiformes; Syngnathidae
Exons: 2
Source: RefSeq, a predicted model, not a curated record